UUUAAAUAAGUAGUCAUAAUAAUGGCCAUUUUUAUUGCUACCUGUAGUUGUUUUAAGGAGAUAUGGAGUAAAUAUGUGUUUGUGGCUAGAAGAAACUCAACCAACCAAAUUUUUGAAAACUUGUAUCAUGCAUGGCCCUCUGUAAAAUAUACACCAGAAAAAGGGGUGGUGUUAAUAUAAGAGAACAAAUAACAGAGAAGGAGAAAAACAAAGGAUCUUAGGUUAAUCGAUCUCUGAAAAUCUGAAAGUGAUUUUGUCACUAUUAUAAAUCAACAUACAGGAUUUCUUUAAUCACUGGUUAAAAACCAUAUGUCAAAACCAUGAUUAAAAGGUAA
RNAcentral lists this long non-coding RNA (335 nucleotides) under Suricata suricatta (meerkat). RNAcentral describes it as "lncRNA (ENSSSUG00005018932.1)". Lineage: Eukaryota; Metazoa; Chordata; Mammalia; Carnivora; Herpestidae. The record is from RNAcentral.